This 365-nucleotide ribosomal RNA is filed under the name uncultured eukaryote. RNAcentral describes it as "partial 18S ribosomal RNA". It matches the Rfam family "Eukaryotic small subunit ribosomal RNA", at positions 592 to 976 of the family's 1831-position model. The record is from RNAcentral.
CAAUAGCGUAUAUUUAAGUUGUUGCAGUUAAAAAGCUCGUAGUCGGAUUUUGGCUGAGAACGAACGGUCCGCCGUUAGGUGUGCACUGUUUGGUCUCAGCUUCCUGGUGAGGAGGUGUGCUUCACGGCCACUUAGUCACCGUGGUUACUUUGAAAAAAUUAGAGUGUUCAAAGCGGGCUUACGCUUGAAUAUAUUAGCAUGGAAUAACACCAUAGGACUCCUGUCCUAUUUCGUUGGUCUCGGGACAGGAGUAAUGAUUAAGAGGAACAGUUGGGGGCAUUCGUAUUUCAUUGUCAGAGGUGAAAUUCUUGGAUUUAUGAAAGACGAACUACUGCGAAAGCAUUUGCCAAGGAUGUUUUCAUUAA